CCUACGGGAGGCAGCAGUGGGGAAUAUUGCGCAAUGGACGAAAGUCUGACGCAGCAACGCCGCGUGAGGGAUGACGGCCUUCGGGUUGUAAACCUCUUUCAGCAGGGACGAAGCGAGAGUGACGGUACCUGCAGAAGAAGGACCGGCCAACUACGUGCCAGCAGCCGCGGUAAUACGUAGGGUCCGAGCGUUGUCCGGAAUUAUUGGGCGUAAAGGGCUCGUAGGCGGUUCGUCACGUCGGGAGUGAAAACUCGGAGCUCAACUCCGAGCCUGCUUCCGAUACGGGCAGACUAGAGGUAGGCAGGGGAGAGCGGAACUCCUGGUGUAGCGGUGGAAUGCGCAGAUAUCAGGAAGAACACCGGUGGCGAAGGCGGCUCUCUGGGCCUUACCUGACGCUGAGGAGCGAAAGCGUGGGUAGCGAACAGGAUUAGAUACCCUGGUAGUCCACGCCGUAAACGUUGGGCGCUAGGUGUGGGGGACAUUCCACGUCCUCCGUGCCGCAGCUAACGCAUUAAGCGCCCCGCCUGGGGAGUACGGCCGCAAGGCUAAAACUCAAAGGAAUUGACGGGGGCCCGCACAAGCGGCGGAGCAUGCGGAUUAAUUCGAUGCAACGCGAAGAACCUUACCUGGGUUUGACAUAUAGGGAAAUCCUCCAGAGAUGGGGGGUCCGUAAGGGUCCUAUACAGGUGGUGCAUGGCUGUCGUCAGCUCGUGUCGUGAGAUGUUGGGUUAAGUCCCGCAACGAGCGCAACCCUCGUCCUAUGUUGCCAGCACGUUAUGGUGGGGACUCAUAGGAGACUGCCGGGGUCAACUCGGAGAGGGUGGGGGAUGACGUCAAGUCGUCAUGCCCCUUUAUGUCCAGGGCUUCACGCAUGCUACAAUGGCCGGUACAAAGGGCUGCGAAACCGCAAGGUGAGCGAAUCCCAAAAGCCGGUCUCAGUUCGGGAUUGGGGGUCUGCAACUCGACCUCAUGAAGUCGGAAUCGCUAGUAAUCGCAGAUCAGCACGCCGCGGUGACUACGUUUCCCGG
This 1028-nucleotide ribosomal RNA is filed under the name uncultured bacterium. RNAcentral's name for it is "bacterial SSU rRNA". It matches the Rfam family "Bacterial small subunit ribosomal RNA", at positions 338 to 1377 of the family's 1533-position model. The record is from RNAcentral.